This 621-nucleotide ribosomal RNA is filed under the name uncultured bacterium. Its description in RNAcentral is "bacterial SSU rRNA". It matches the Rfam family "Bacterial small subunit ribosomal RNA", at positions 771 to 1392 of the family's 1533-position model. The record is from RNAcentral.
AACAGGAUUAGAUAGCCUGGUAGUCCACGCCGUAAACGAUGUCGACUUGGAGGUUGUUCCCUUGAGGAGUGGCUUCCGGAGCUAACGCGUUAAGUCGACCGCCUGGGGAGUACGGCCGCAAGGUUAAAACUCAAAUGAAUUGACGGGGGCCCGCACAAGCGGUGGAGCAUGUGGUUUAAUUCGAUGCAACGCGAAGAACCUUACCUACUCUUGACAUCCAGCGAACUUAGCAGAGAUGCUUUGGUGCCUUCGGGAACGCUGAGACAGGUGCUGCAUGGCUGUCGUCAGCUCGUGUUGUGAAAUGUUGGGUUAAGUCCCGCAACGAGCGCAACCCUUAUCCUUUGUUGCCAGCGAUUCGGUCGGGAACUCAAAGGAGACUGCCGGUGAUAAACCGGAGGAAGGUGGGGAUGACGUCAAGUCAUCAUGGCCCUUACGAGUAGGGCUACACACGUGCUACAAUGGCGCAUACAAAGAGAAGCGACCUCGCGAGAGCAAGCGGACCUCACAAAGUGCGUCGUAGUCCGGAUCGGAGUCUGCAACUCGACUCCGUGAAGUCGGAAUCGCUAGUAAUCGUGGAUCAGAAUGCCACGGUGAAUACGUUCCCGGGUCUUGUACACACCG